Molecule: non-coding RNA, 1717 nt
Organism: Manis javanica (Malayan pangolin)
Lineage: Eukaryota; Metazoa; Chordata; Mammalia; Pholidota; Manidae
Source: RefSeq, a predicted model, not a curated record
GGCUGGGAGACGCCCUCCCGGCACCCAGGCCUGAGGUGGCGUAGAGACUACAAGUCCCAGGAGUCGUAGCGAGACCGCCUGGAGGGCGGGGGUUACGAAAGAGGAACCCUAAGGGCGCCGGGGCCUGGGACCAGGGACGCCUGGCUGCUUAGCACCCCUGCUGUGACCUCUGGUCGCAGGGCGCCUGGAUCUGGAUGUCUGUGGCUCGUGUCCCGCAGGGCCAGACUCUGGGCUCCAGAGCAUGGCGCUCCGGCGUGCUGUCCUCCUGGCCGGCCUCCUGGCGGAAGUCACUGGCAAAUCUUCAGAGGGCACGGGCCAGCAGCCUGAGUGUUGUGUGGAUGUGGAAGACGUCAAUGCUACCUGCCCAGGUACAAGCCUGUGUGGCCCAGGUCCCGCGUAUCUUUUCCUGGGCCUGCCAGGGAGUGACUGUCCUUACUCAUCGGUUGAGCCUGGGGAACCCAGGAAGCCAGGCCCUGCCAUCUGGUGUCACUGCGGAAGAUCUUCAUGUCACAGUGACCACUGUGUGUACAUUAAACAUCGUAUUGGCUGCUACCGGCACUGGAACGACGAUGGGAGCGUCAGCUGUGUCCGGUGCAGGAAUGGGACCAACAACGGCUCCGAGUGCCGAGGCCUCGCUGGCCGGGGCACCCAGCUCCCAGUGAACAGAAGCACAGCCAUGCCUGGGCGGCCAAAUUUUGCUGCUCUUCUAGAAUGUUGGCCCAGAGGAGACUGCAAGCAGUGCACGUGCACCUUACCCUGGUCCUCGCGGUUCUGAGGGGCACACAGGGCCCAUCUCCUGGGCCUCUGUCCGCCUGGCUCAGCUGCAAGGGCCCUGCUGUUGGAGUGGGGCCUGUGUCGGCAGUGGCCACCUCCUCUUCUGAGGUGACCAGGUCCUGCUGGCAGUUGUGUCCCUCUGGACCCUGGUCCUUCAGCAUAGGACAUGUUGGACCUGGGCCGAGGACCAAGGCUCUUUGCACGAGUCAGGACCAGAAGCAGUGGCCAUGUGCUGGCCCGGCCUGCUGAGGCUCACCGCACAGAGCAGCAUCUAAGGGUGGGGCCGGCUCAGGCAACUGGCCUACUGUGGCAUGAGGCUGAGUCUGGCAGUCGGGUCUGCAGGUGGUGCUGGUGAGUCCAGCUAGUGAGCUUGUUAAUGCUGUGGCAAAUCUGAGGCAGGACAUGCUUGCCCACUCAGCUGGCAUCCUGCUGGGCUCCAGUACAGCCACAAACGUGCCCUUUCCUGUAUCUCAGGGUCAGGAGGGCAUCCCCACAAGCAUGUAAGAGCACACUGCCCCAGCUGAUGGGUCAGCAGCUGUCCAGGGCUCUCAGCCAUCUGUCCACCAGCCUCUCCUGGCCCCACAGAGGCAGAGAUGACAGCGCUGGGAAGUUCCCUCCAGUGACAGUGAACGGGCACCCAAGUGCCGAGGCUGUAGGCUGAGUCCCAGCCGUUGGGUUGCAGGCUCUGACCCGGCAGGCCAGGGGGUGUGGGGCCCCCAUCUGCACCGAGUCUUGAGGAAGGAGACGGGGAACCCAGGUCCCACCUCCCCAUGAGAAGCCGAGUCAGCUCCCCAGAGCCUGCUGCCAGGCGGCCACCAGGCGGCAGCCGCCCUCCUCCUGGGGACGUUCCUCAUCAGCUCCGGCCUCAUCCUCUCCGUGGCUGGGUUCUUCUACCUCAAGCGUGCCAGUAAGCUCCCCAAGGUCUUCUAUGGAAGAAACAAAG